CCUACGGGUGGCAGCAGUGAGGAAUAUUGGUCAAUGGACGCAAGUCUGAACCAGCCAUGCCGCGUGAAGGAGGACGGCUCUAUGAGUUGUAAACUUCUUUUGUACGAGGGUAAACGCAGAUACGCGUAUCUGUCUGAAAGUAUCGUACGAAUAAGGAUCGGCUAACUCCGUGCCAGCAGCCGCGGUAAUACGGAGGAUUCAAGCGUUAUCCGGAUUUAUUGGGUUUAAAGGGUGCGUAGGCGGUCGGAUAAGUUAGAGGUGAAAUCCCGGGGCUCAACUUCGGAACUGCCGUUGAUACUGUGCGGCUAGAGAGUAGGUGCGGUAGGCGGAAUGUAUGGUGUAGCGGUGAAAUGUUUAGAGAUCAUACAGAACACCGAUUGCGAAGGCAGCUUACCAAGCUACUUCUGACGUUGAGGCACGAAAGCGUGGGGAGCAAACAGGAUUAGAUACCCCAGUAGUC
Molecule: ribosomal RNA, 460 nt
Filed under: uncultured bacterium
Lineage: Bacteria
Description: partial 16S ribosomal RNA
Rfam family: Bacterial small subunit ribosomal RNA
Source: RNAcentral